UUCUAUUAGAUAUAAUUAAUAGUAUAAUCUGCUCAAUGAUUAUUCAAUAGCCGCUAUUACUGUGCUAAGGUAGCAUAAUCAUUUGUCUUUUAAUUGAAGACUAGAACAAAAGAUUUAACAAUUUAAUCAAUAUAUAAAAUUAAAUUUAUUAAUUUAUUUAAAAUGUAAAAAAACAUUUAUAAAAUAGGAAGACGACAAGACCCUAUUAAACUUAACUAUAGUUUAACUGGGGCAGUAAAUAAAUUAUUACUUUAAUAAAAAUAUAAAUAUAAAAGAUCCAAUAAAAUUGAAUAUAUGAUCAAGUUACUAUAGGGAUAACAGCGUAAUAUUUAUCUAAAGAUCUUAUUUAAAUAAAAGAUUGCGACCUCGAUGUUGAAUUAAUAACCUAAAUUAUUGCAGUAAAUAAAUAAAGGAAGUCUGUUCGACCUUUAAAAAAUUACA
Molecule: ribosomal RNA, 441 nt
Filed under: Sanogasta minuta
Lineage: Eukaryota; Metazoa; Arthropoda; Arachnida; Araneae; Anyphaenidae
Description: partial 16S ribosomal RNA
Source: RNAcentral